GACGAACGCUAGCUGCGGGCUUAACACAUGCAAGUCGAACGGCAAGGCCCUGCUUUUGUUGGGUUCUCGAGUGGCGAACGGGUGCGUAACACGUUAGUAACCUUCCCUUGACUUUGAUAUACCUUCAGGAAACUGGGGCUAAUACCUGAUAGGAGCUCCUGCUGCGUGUUGGGGGUGGGAAAGUUUCGGCGGUUGGGGAUGUACUCGCGGCUUAUCAGCCUGUUUGUGGGGUAGUGGCUUACCAAGGCUUUGAAGGGUAGCCGGCCUGAGAGGGUGACCGGCCAAAUUGGGAAUGAGAUACGGGACAGAGUCGUACGGGAGACAGGAGUGGGGAAGAUUGCAUGAUGGGGGGAAGCCUGAUGCAGCAACGCCGCGUGCGGGAUGACGGCCUUCGGGUUGUAGGCCGCUUUCGCCUGUUACGAAGCGUGAGUGAAGGUAAUGUGUAAAGAAGCACCGGCUAACUACGUG
This 468-nucleotide ribosomal RNA is filed under the name uncultured bacterium. RNAcentral's name for it is "partial 16S ribosomal RNA". It matches the Rfam family "Bacterial small subunit ribosomal RNA", at positions 28 to 507 of the family's 1533-position model. The record is from RNAcentral.